Molecule: unclassified non-coding RNA, 4945 nt
Filed under: Leishmania donovani
Lineage: Eukaryota; Euglenozoa; Kinetoplastea; Trypanosomatida; Trypanosomatidae
Description: gene:LdHU3.12.0830(CDS-product:Fusaric_acid_resis tance_protein-like_putative)
Source: RNAcentral
GGCUCUUCGAGCGAUUCUCGAAGCAGCAAAGGGGUGCAUGGCAAGAUGGCAAAAAACUCCCACAGCGAUACCGAGAGGGUUGAGAAGUACAAGUGGGCGGAUGUGAAGAAGAUGGACACAGAAGGCGAUGAGGACGAGCGAGACGAGCGCAACUUCCGGACUCGCAACAUCGAUGCCCUGCACGCCAUCCCGUGGGAUCAGCGGCAGCAGCUACCCAUGAGCGGCUUCGGCACACGCUUCUUUGCCUUACUGAGCACGCCGCGUUUUUGGGAGAAGCUUGACUGGACAGUGCGUGCUUCCCUUCUGACCGUGCUUCCCACCAUGGUGCUGUCACUCGAGCCCUCGACGUCGUACAUGUUCCCGUUGCCGUCCUCGUUGGCCUUCAACGCCUUUUGGAUAACGAUGCCGACCUUUGGCAGUGGUCUGCGCGAACUGAUCAUUGCCUUGAAGGGCUUCUCUGUCGGCCUGCUGUUUGUGUGCAUCGUCGUAGGCACGCACACCGGCCCUGCGUGGCUGAGUCUUCUUAUGCUCUUUUUCUUCACCUUCAUCUCCUCCUUUGUGGCGGAGGAGACGAAGAAGACGGCCGCCUACGUGCUGGCGUCGAUGAUCAUGAAAUACAUUGUGGACCCUGCCGAAACGGACUUCCGCUACAUUGGCAAGUACUACGUUGGCCUGCUCAUUGGCCUGGCCUUCGGUACGGCUGGCUUUCUAGUGCCAUUCAUCCGCUGGUCAAGCGACAUUGCUCGGCACUACAUCAAGGCCAUGGGCAACUCACUCAGCAUUGAUCUGCAGGGAACACUGUCGAGCUUCUGGGUGCGCACCCCGCUGGAGCGCGAGCUGAACGUUGUGCGUCUGCGCCAACUAAGGGCCACUGCGGAGAAGUGUCUCAGCAAGAUUGAGACGGCGCUGGAAGAGUCUGAGUACGAGCCGCACACUGGGGCGUACAUGAUGUGCAUGGUGAACCGCUUCAACUUCUGCAAGUCCAUUCACAACAUCCUCGGCUCCUUGAGCCACGUCAUCGAGCUCAUCGCUGACAAUCCGAGCCUGAUCGACACGCCGAUGUGCACGGCCUUUGGAGAGCAGAUUGGCGACCACCUCGCCGUUAUCUCGUCUGCGAUGGACAGCAUGGUGCUGAAGAUUGUCGACUUCGAGCGCAUUGUGACGCCGCAGGAGAUCCAGUUUUUCCGAGAAGCGCGCGAGCGCUUCCAGGAUGCGCUGUCGCGUGUUCGAGAGGAUGUCAUCUUGACGAAUGAGAACUACCAGACGGACGAGUCCGACGUCCUUCUUGGUUUCUUCAUGUUCAGCCUGGACGAGAUGUGCGAGGUGAUUAGCCAGUUCGACGAGACGGCGCACCCGCCCAGCAGGCUCUUGAAUGCGAUGCUGUUCCCGGUGCGAGACGUGAAGAGCGUCAUUGCUGCCUUUCGGAAUUUGGCUCUCACGAUUGUGCGGCGCCGUACGAUUCCGCGUCGCAUGAAGGAAGCAAUCAAACUCUCCCUGUGCAUGGUGGUACCCAGCAUCUUUCAGGUGUACGCAUUGGACAACAGCUCGGUGAGCCCAGCGGCCGGUGCCGCGGUGAUUGCGCUCAUCUACAACCCCACCGGCUCCGAGAGCUUCCACUACGCCUCUGGGCGUCUGCUGGGCACGGUACUCGGCUCGAUCGGCGCGCUGCUCUCUGUGCAAGUUGCGCGUGGUCAGUUGUGGGUGCUGUACAUCUUCAUCGUUAUCCUGUCUUUCAUUGGCGCGUACGUGCAGGCGGCCCCGGGCUUCUACGCACUUGGCAACGCGAUCGUCAGCAGCACGAUUUCCGUCUGCACCCAGUACCAGGACGAGAAUGCCGCAAUGGUGCGUAUCCAGCAGAACUGCUUCGCCAUUUUGAUGUACUUUGUGAUUGCGUGCGUUCUGUGGCCGAUGCAGGCGCGCACGAAGGUGAAGAUGAGUCUGAACGUCACGCUGCGGUGCACGAGAGAGGCCGUCACGCGCAUGCUGCGCAAUCUCGACAUGCCGUACGACGCAAACGAAGUCACCGCCGACGUCUCGGCGCUGCUCAUUGAGAUGAACAAGAAGGUUCGGACGCAGUCCCGCUUCAUCCCUGGAGCGGUGGAGGAGCCGACAAUGGGCUCCGUCGAGUACCCGGAGGACUCGUGGAAGCGCAUCGUGGAGGCGGAGAAGAAGUUGUGCUUGGCGCUGUCGAUGAUGUGCUUCGCCUACAACACCUUCAUGUCCAGCCGAGCGGACCCAACCACCGAGUUGUCGGUACACUGGGUGGUGCUGCACCGCAUCGCCCCGCAUGCGCAGGACCUGUCCGACCUCAUCUAUGCCUCCAUCGACCUCUAUCUUCUCUCGCUCUCCAAGAUGACGAUCGUGCCAACAGCGCACCUGACACGGCUUCGGGUGGGCAUGGUAGACGCCAAUCAGGCCAUCCUCGACACCUACAUGUCUACCAUCUUCCGCAAGGUGGCUGGCGAGCAGGACACGGACGAGGGCGACAUGUACUCCAGCAGCUCCUACAUGGACGACGACGAGCACGACAACGACAGCAAUGCCGGGUACAGAGGCGGAGAGCAUGGCAGCAGCGGCGGGCCGCACCUCCCGCCGAGUAGAAGAGGGCGCUCUUACACGGACAAAGCCGAUGGCGGCGUUGGCUCAACUGCGAGCGUCGACUGCAAGGCGGCUGCGGUGCACGCCGCCAACAGGCCGAGUGAGAGGGAGGGUAAUGAGGCCAAGGCCGGUAACGAUGACGAUUCCUCCGCAUCCCCGACACCACGGCAGCAGCGACGGCGAGUCGACUGUGACCACGGACACCGCCGUGGGAACCACAGCUCUGGGGACUCUUCGGGCUCGUCUUCCUCCGAGAAUGGCGAACACGACGACAACGUCAACGCGCACCCACACAAGAAGGCGACGGGAAAGGGUGGCGACGGCAAAAAGAAGAUGGGGUACCUCGGCUACGAGUUGACGGCGGAGGAGGCUGCGGCGCUGCGCGCCUUUGUAGCGAACCGCGUGAGCAACGCAACCUUUAGCACCAACAAGUCUAUGGUGGUCAACAACUCGACCUUCAGUGGCCGGGUCGCGGGCGGGGCUCCUACCGCUGCUGCCGCUGCUGCUGCUGCUGCGUUGGCCACGAGGGCCUCGAUUGCGAUGCCGGGGUCUCUUCCGCAGGGCAACAACGACGCCCGCCUUAUGGCUGUCACAGGUGGCGACGACGGGCUGGCUGCGGCGCUGCGCAAGAAGCACAAGGUGGUGGUGAGGCGCGGGAGGGACGAGGAGAACGACGGUGACGCGGAGGAAGCGGGGCCGGAGGGGCCGCAUAAUGAGGGCAGGGCUAAAAGCGGCCGCAACGACGUCGACAACGUUCCCGGAAUCUUCAAUACAUCCUUCUUGAACAACUCCUUCAUGAACACAUCCUUGCUAGGCAGCCUUUUUGCGAAGCGGACGAAGGAGCUGCGCGACCUUGACGCGGCGGAGAUGCCGCAGCUCCAUGCAGGGCGGUCGCGCGCGUCGAGUGAGUCGAGCACCACCUCGGCUCGCUCGCAACGAGACGGUAAGAAAAAGAAGCAGCAGCGGCGUCACCUCGGCAAACGGCGCGAGGCGAAAGACAGCGACAGUGGCGAUGAGGGCAUCAGACAGCACAGCACCCCGCUCACCUCACCGACCCCCCACCCUCGCGCCAGUAGCGUGGGGAGCGAGUUCAGCGACAUCGAAGACAAUCCGAGGCCGCGCAAUCAGAGGCGCUCCUCCGGAAAGGUACUUCGCUCGAGCGGGACCGUAGCGGUGGCCGAAAACGCCAAGGUGGAUGAGCGUCCACCGAUGGCGCACUCGACGCCAGAGGUGCUGCCUGCCGCCGACAACUUAGCAACGAACCCACUAGGCGAGGAUGGUGCCGGGCGUGAGGGUGCCACCGGUGGACAGCGCAAUCUGCCGCCCAUGUCCCAGUCUGCGCCGAUGACCUCCGGUCGCGGGUCUGCUGCGGAGACCUUUGCAGUGCUGAGGAAGGAGGGCAGCGUCGAGGCAAGCCGGCAGCAAGCGAGCAGCUUGACAGCCGGGCAGCUUUGCGGGGUUGCGGCGGCCAGCAUGGUUAGCUUCAGUGGCGACGAUGCGGCCGUGCUCGGGGCAUCACUCAACAACACCUGCAGCGCCGCCACCACCGUAUCUCACCACCCCCCGCAGCCUCUUGCUCUGGCACCGGGCAGCAGCAGCGGGAGCCCAGAGGAUCACAAGGGCUCGCCGCCGCGCGCGUGCAGCAGCGCUGCGGAGGGAAAGAAGUGCGACAACCGCGACAGCAAUACGCGGAGGGAGGUGCCUGACAAGGACGGCGAGAUGACGCACGGCAACACCGAGAAGCAGCAGCCGCACGACAGGAGCGGCGACACCCCGGGCAUGGACGUAGGAGCUUCAGGCAAGCCAGGGGAGGUUCAGAGAGACGCAACUAGUGCUGUGGACAAGGACACGCAUCCGCUUGCCGACAAUGCCUCCCUCCAUCACGCCCUUGCCUCUUUCGGCAGCCGCCCCUCGAGCAAGCUGCGGCGCCGUUCUCUCGGCAUUGGAGGCAGCAGUCAGUGCGUUCCAGCGAUGCUUGACAGGAGCCACGAUGGCGACGGCACCAGCAUGACCCCAUCGGACGGUGGCGAGAUCUUAAAGGGCCUUUCCUUCUUUAACGCCGCCAGGGGCGAGUUUGUGCUCACCAAUCACGACAUCCACUCCCUCGAGGCCUUCCUGUUUGGCACACGCGCCCUCGUCGUGCACAUCAACGAUCUGCAAAAGGCGCUGCUGGAAAUGCAGCACGCCACGGAUCUGGCAAGGCUGCUGUAAUGUGGCUCGGCAGCUGCGGUCGCCGGCGAGAGCGCGCCCCCAUCGAAGGGCGACAGUUAUCGCGCCGCCUUUCCUGCUCGUUCUUGCUCUCUCUCUCUCUCUCACGACUUUGCCAAUGCGAUCGAGGGAGGAGGUG